Molecule: ribosomal RNA, 491 nt
Filed under: uncultured bacterium
Lineage: Bacteria
Description: bacterial SSU rRNA
Rfam family: Bacterial small subunit ribosomal RNA
Source: RNAcentral
GACGAACGCUGGCGGCGUGCUUAACACAUGCAAGUCGAACGAGAAUCUGUGGAUCGAGGAUUCGUCCAAGUGAAGCAGAGGACAGUGGCGGACGGGUGAGUAACGCGUGAGGAACCUGCCUUUCAGAGGGGGACAACAGUUGGAAACGACUGCUAAUACCGCAUGAUACAUUUGGGUGGCAUCAUCUGAAUGUCAAAGAUUUAUCGCUGAAAGAUGGCCUCGCGUCUGAUUAGCUGGUUGGUGAGGUAACGGCCCACCAAGGCGACGACCAGUAGCCGGACUGAGAGGUUGAACGGCCACAUUGGGACUGAGACACGGCCCAGACUCCUACGGGAGGCAGCAGUGGGGAAUAUUGCACAAUGGGGGAAACCCUGAUGCAGCAACGCCGCGUGAGGGAAGAAGGUUUUCGGAUUGUAAACCUCUGUCCCUGGUGACGAAGACAGUGACGGUAACCAGGGAGGAAGCCACGGCUAACUACGUGCCAGCAGCCG